Molecule: small nuclear RNA, 110 nt
Organism: Ursus thibetanus thibetanus
Lineage: Eukaryota; Metazoa; Chordata; Mammalia; Carnivora; Ursidae
Gene: U2
Rfam family: U2 spliceosomal RNA
About the family: U2 is a small nuclear RNA (snRNA) component of the spliceosome (involved in pre-mRNA splicing). Complementary binding between U2 snRNA (in an area lying towards the 5' end but 3' to hairpin I) and the branchpoint sequence (BPS) of the intron results the bulging out of an unpaired adenosine, on the BPS, which initiates a nucleophilic attack at the intronic 5' splice site, thus starting the first of two transesterification reactions that mediate splicing.
Source: Ensembl
AUAGCUUCUUGGCCUUUUGGCUCAGAUCAAGUGUGGUAUCUGUUCCUCUCAGUAAAACAGAAAUCUCAAGUUAAAGCAGUAUAAACUUGUAAUUUACAAACAUAACAUAA